Molecule: ribosomal RNA, 735 nt
Filed under: uncultured bacterium
Lineage: Bacteria
Description: bacterial SSU rRNA
Rfam family: Bacterial small subunit ribosomal RNA
Source: RNAcentral
GACGAACGCUGGCGGCGCGCCUAGCACAUGCAAGUCGAACGAGCGAGAGAGAGCUUGCUUUCUCGAGCGAGUGGCGAACGGGUGAGUAACGCGUGAGGAACCUGCCUCAAAGAGGGGGACAACAGUUGGAAACGACUGCUAAUACCGCAUAAGCCCACAGGUCGGCAUCGACCAGAGGGAAAAGGAGUGAUCCGCUUUGAGAUGGCCUCGCGUCCGAUUAGCUAGUUGGUGAGGUAACGGCCCACCAAGGCAACGAUCGGUAGCCGGACUGAGAGGUUGAACGGCCACAUUGGGACUGAGACACGGCCCAGACUCCUACGGGAGGCAGCAGUGGGGAAUAUUGCACAAUGGGGGAAACCCUGAUGCAGCGACGCCGCGUGGAGGAAGAAGGUCUUCGGAUUGUAAACUCCUGUUGUUGAGGAAGAUAAUGACGGUACUCAACAAGGAAGUGACGGCUAACUACGUGCCAGCAGCCGCGGUAAAACGUAGGUCACAAGCGUUGUCCGGAAUUACUGGGUGUAAAGGGAGCGCAGGCGGGAAGACAAGUUGGAAGUGAAAUCUAUGGGCUCAACCCAUAAACUGCUUUCAAAACUGUUUUUCUUGAGUAGUGCAGAGGUAGGCGGAAUUCCCGGUGUAGCGGUGGAAUGCGUAGAUAUCGGGAGGAACACCAGUGGCGAAGGCGGCCUACUGGGCACCAACUGACGCUGAGGCUCGAAAGUGUGGGUAGCAAACAGG